This 497-nucleotide ribosomal RNA is filed under the name uncultured bacterium. Its description in RNAcentral is "partial 16S ribosomal RNA". It matches the Rfam family "Bacterial small subunit ribosomal RNA", at positions 28 to 507 of the family's 1533-position model. The record is from RNAcentral.
GAUGAACGCUGGCGGCGUGCCUAAUACAUGCAAGUCGAGCGAACAGACGAGGAGCUUGCUCCUCUGACGUUAGCGGCGGACGGGUGAGUAACACGUGGAUAACCUACCUAUAAGACUGGGAUAACUUCGGGAAACCGGAGCUAAUACCGGAUAAUAUAUUGAACCGCAUGGUUCAAUAGUGAAAGACGGUUUUGCUGUCACUUAUAGAUGGAUCCGCGCCGCAUUAGCUAGUUGGUAAGGUAACGGCUUACCAAGGCAACGAUGCGUAGCCGACCUGAGAGGGGGAUCGGCCACACUGGAACUGAGACACGGUCCAGACUCCUACGGGAGGCAGCAGUAGGGAAUCUUCCGCAAUGGGCGAAAGCUUGACGGAGCAACGCCGCGUGAGUGAUGGAGGUCUUCGGAUCGUAAAACUCUGUUAUUAGGGAAGAACAAAUGUGUAAAUAACUUUGCACGUCUUGACGGUACCUAAUCAGAAAGCCACGGCUAACUACGUG